UGCAAGUCGAGCGGAAACGAGUUAUCUGAACCUUCGGGGAACGAUAACGGCGUCGAGCGGCGGACGGGUGAGUAAUGCCUAGGAAAUUGCCCUGAUGUGGGGGAUAACCAUUGGAAACGAUGGCUAAUACCGCAUGAUGCCUACGGGCCAAAGAGGGGGACCUUCGGGCCUCUCGCGUCAGGAUAUGCCUAGGUGGGAUUAGCUAGUUGGUGAGGUAAGGGCUCACCAAGGCGACGAUCCCUAGCUGGUCUGAGAGGAUGAUCAGCCACACUGGAACUGAGACACGGUCCAGACUCCUACGGGAGGCAGCAGUGGGGAAUAUUGCACAAUGGGCGCAAGCCUGAUGCAGCCAUGCCGCGUGUGUGAAGAAGGCCUUCGGGUUGUAAAGCACUUUCAGUCGUGAGGAAGGUGGUGUAGUUAAUAGCUGCAUUAUUUGACGUUAGCGACAGAAGAAGCACCGGCUAACUCCGUGCCAGCAGCCGCGGUAAUACGGAGGGUGCGAGCGUUAAUCGGAAUUACUGGGCGUAAAGCGCAUGCAGGUGGUUUGUUAAGUCAGAUGUGAAAGCCCGGGGCUCAACCUCGGAAUAGCAUUUGAAACUGGCAGACUAGAGUACUGUAGAGGGGGGUAGAAUUUCAGGUGUAGCGGUGAAAUGCGUAGAGAUCUGAAGGAAUACCGGUGGCGAAGGCGGCCCCCUGGACAGAUACUGACACUCAGAUGCGAAAGCGUGGGGAGCAAACAGGAUUAGAUACCCUGGUAGUCCACGCCGUAAACGAUGUCUACUUGGAGGUUGUGGCCUUGAGCCGUGGCUUUCGGAGCUAACGCGUUAAGUAGACCGCCUGGGGAGUACGGUCGCAAGAUUAAAACUCAAAUGAAUUGACGGGGGCCCGCACAAGCGGUGGAGCAUGUGGUUUAAUUCGA
Molecule: ribosomal RNA, 919 nt
Filed under: bacterium WP2ISO2
Lineage: Bacteria
Description: bacterial SSU rRNA
Rfam family: Bacterial small subunit ribosomal RNA
Source: RNAcentral